Vicugna pacos (alpaca) is the source of this 1628-nucleotide non-coding RNA. The record is from the annotation of a RefSeq genome assembly. Lineage: Eukaryota; Metazoa; Chordata; Mammalia; Artiodactyla; Camelidae.
CUGCAUUCAGUCCAUUGACUCCCGAAUGUCAAGUCUUUGCUCCAACUGCUGAGCACCGGGGUGGCCAGCACUGCUCCAAGGACUUUUGAAGGAGGACCUGCAGCACAAGAGGUCCUGGAAGCUGCUAGGGGCUUGCCCAACACAAUUUCCCAGCCGGGGCCACGAGCAGCAAGACUCCUGGCUGGCUUGUCAAAUUUUGUGGAUGAGUCAGGCUCUCACCACUCACUGCUCCACAGGCCAAUAAGUCAAGAGAGGUGUUGGGGCAAAGAGCAACUUUAUUCAGAAAGCCAGCACACUGAGAAGAUGGCGGGCUAACGUCCUAAAGAACCAUCUUAAUGCGGGGUAGGAUUCAGGUUGCUUUUAUUCUAAGGAAGAAGUGGGAGGAGGAGGGUUUAAGACUAAACGGCGGGUUGCAGGCUGCUCGGAGCCACCUGGCCUUCAAGGAAAGCAUAACGUGCCUCUGUCUUUCUGCUUGCUAUCCCAGGGCUCCUGCAGAACUUCCAGUUGUUAGCAGCUAGUUUUACUUGAUCAUUCUUAUCCCUGCUUAUUCUAAGGUUUCUAGGCGGAAAGCAAACUCAUCUACAACAGGUAAUAGCCACUUGGGACCGUGGGGUCUUUCCUGAGGGGACUUACUGAACUAUUUGGGCACAAUCAACGUUUCUUUAAUGUUCAACACUUGACGUGCCGAGCUAAAGUAACAAAACUCGUAGGCUGAGGAAGAGGGGCGAUUUCCAGGCGGUGGUAGUCCUGUUCCUCCUCUGCUGCAGGCCUGGAGCAGUACCUGGCAGCGAGGGGAUUAAACAUAAACUCUCCAUUCUUGUGUGACAAGAGCAUCUAUGUGCUCGUCCUCCAGUGAGCAAACGUUACCAUGACGAGGAAGGUGAACCCGUGAGCCAAUCAGAGUGAAGCUCGAGCCUGGAAUGUGGCAGUGCUGACAAGUCAGGCCAAAGUGCAGAGUCUGGGGAAGGAAGACACAAGGUGGCGGUGCCAGUGAUUCAGAGCUCUGUUGUCAAUCUCCUCAUCUGCCAAACUGGGGAGACAGUCUUGAAUAUCUCCAGGAUCCUAUCCAAGUGUCCAUUCUAGCCGUGUGACAAAUUCUGCACAUUAAGCCAAGGGGGAGCCCCCAGGCUAAGUUCCUUUCCUCAUUUGUCUGGGCUUGGAGCUGGAGGGAGACCCCCCUUCCCACUAUGGGCAACCAGGUGAUCUACUGGGUGGCCCUCUGUCUCCUCAGAGCAGGCACCGUGGAUGGUGGAAUCACACAGACCCCAAAAUACGUGCUCAAAGAGGAAGGACGAGAUGUGACCCUGGAGUGUGAGCAGGAUUUUAAUUAUGACGCCAUGUACUGGUACCGACAGGACCCAGGACAAAGGCUGAGACUAAUCUACUUCUCACUGUCUGCAAAGGAUGUUCAGAAAGGAGACAUAGCCGAAGGCUACAGUGCCUCUCGGGAGAAGAAGCCACUCUUUUCUCUCACUGUGACGUUGACACAGAAGAACCAGACGGCUGUUUAUCUCUGUGCCAGCAGUACAGACACAGUGAAGCAAAGCCACCUUCUCUUUGCACAUAAAUGUGUCCCAAGCCCUGCAUCCCCACCAGGUGGCAGGGCUUUUCUGUUUUUGGUCCCCUGA